RNAcentral lists this ribosomal RNA (622 nucleotides) under Bacillus subtilis. RNAcentral describes it as "bacterial SSU rRNA". It matches the Rfam family "Bacterial small subunit ribosomal RNA", at positions 547 to 1172 of the family's 1533-position model. The record is from RNAcentral. Lineage: Bacteria; Bacillati; Bacillota; Bacilli; Caryophanales; Bacillaceae.
GGAUAUUGGGCGUAAGGGCUCGCAGGCGGUUUCUUAAGUCUGAUGUGAAAGCCCCCGGCUCAACCGGGGAGGGUCAUUGGAAACUGGGGAACUUGAGUGCAGAAGAGGAGAGUGGAAUUCCACGUGUAGCGGUGAAAUGCGUAGAGAUGUGGAGGAACACCAGUGGCGAAGGCGACUCUCUGGUCUGUAACUGACGCUGAGGAGCGAAAGCGUGGGGAGCGAACAGGAUUAGAUACCCUGGUAGUCCACGCCGUAAACGAUGAGUGCUAAGUGUUAGGGGGUUUCCGCCCCUUAGUGCUGCAGCUAACGCAUUAAGCACUCCGCCUGGGGAGUACGGUCGCAAGACUGAAACUCAAAGGAAUUGACGGGGGCCCGCACAAGCGGUGGAGCAUGUGGUUUAAUUCGAAGCAACGCGAAGAACCUUACCAGGUCUUGACAUCCUCUGACAAUCCUAGAGAUAGGACGUCCCCUUCGGGGGCAAAGUGACAGGUGGUGCAGGGUUGUCGUCAGCUCGUGUCGUGAGAUGUUGGGUUAAGUCCCGCAACGAGCGCAACCCUUGAUCUUAGUUGCCAGCAUUCAGUUGGGCACUCUAAGGUGACUGCCGGUGACAAACCGGAGGAAG